Non-coding RNA from Peromyscus maniculatus bairdii (prairie deer mouse), 3652 nucleotides. Lineage: Eukaryota; Metazoa; Chordata; Mammalia; Rodentia; Cricetidae. The record is from RefSeq and is a predicted model, not a curated record.
AACUUCUGAGUAAAUAAUUUCUCUUGCCAACAUUCCUUUCUGGGGUGAGCCUUCCAACUUUUCACAGUAUGCUGUCUGUAACCUCUGCACAGCGUCAGGCCCUGUGGUAAGCAGCAUACAGCCUGCACCCACAUGGGCCAUGAAGGAUGCUGGGUCCAGAUUCCUUCAGAGCAUCUUGAUUUCCUGUUGAGAGGUGGUAGCUGCUGCAGGUAGUGAACUACUGGAGAGAAAGAGGUCCUACUUCAGAGACAGAACAGCAAAAUCAAGGCGAUCCUCCAGCAACGAGCUCACUUCCUUUUGUGUUGCUGCCUGGACAUGGGUGGAAGACAGGGUCUGUGUAGCCCUGGCUAUCCUCUGCAGACAAGGAUGGCCUCCAACUCACAGACAUCCACCUGCCUAGGCCACUUGAGUGCUGGGAUUAACGGCGUGAGCCACCACACCCAACUGUGAACCUUUUUUUCUUGAGAUAGGGUCACCUGGAUCUCAGGCUGCCUUCCAACUCUCUAUGGAAUCAAAGAUGACUUUUAACUUCUAAUUCUACCUCCUGAGUACUGGGAUUACAGGCAUGUCUACCAUGCCCUGUAUUUGUGAUUCUGCAAAUUUAACCAAGGGCUCUGUGCAUGCGAGGCAAGCACUCUACCAACCAAGCUUUAUCCCUAAUCCAUGGUGAUUCACCUGACUGUCAACUUGACCAGACUGAUAAACACCUAUGAGAUUAAUAACGUGGAUCUGUGGUGUGUCUGUGAAGGCAUCUGCAGAAAUAAUUCGAUCAUGAGAUUGCUAACCUCGGGACUUCACCAUCUGAAUAGACAGCUGAGAGACCAGUCUCGGCAUACUCCCAAGGCCCAGCCUCCUGUUGUCUUCCUGGAAGCAAGGCAGACCCAAGCUGGUAACACUCAGCCUGGCAGCUCUCCGCAGCACUGCUCCGGACACUUCUUCUAGACUGAGCCCCUCUGUCCCGAGGACACACAGCUGUGUGGCUUGUCUCACCAGCCUUCCUGGGACCAGCGCUUUCGAAGGGGCUCCUCCCAAGGAGGAAGGGUGCUGGCCAUGUCCUUAUCCUCUAACUUCUUGAUGUUCUGAGACCUUACAGCAGCAUCAGGCAUAGUUCUAAGCACAUCCUGAGUUACAGGAAGGACAAGACACCGCCACACCACAGCGGGGGCUGAAUACAGAUGGCAGGGUCUGUUGGCAGAGAAACCAGGACCAUGGUACAGAUAUUUGAAAGUUUGUGCUUUAAAAGGAGGAUUCUCUUGUUUGUAUUUUAGUAUCUGAUGGGGGGGAGGUGGUAUCGAUGGGUUAGAAAUCAGUUGUUAGAGGAUGAUGGCUUUCUCAAGAGACAAGUGUCCCUAAGCAUUCGGAUGAAGAAGGGGAGGAUUAGGGGACUUCAGCUGAUCUGUGAGACAUGACACUGGCCCAGGGAUGUUCCCCAGCAGCAAGCUAUCUUGGUCUCAUCUGGGCCACUGCAACCAAUUCCUAAGAUACACAGGAGCCUCCUUCCUCUCUCUCUCUGUUGGAAAGAUGGAGACCACAAACAUUGCCCACCUCCCCGCUACACAAGUUAGCUUUAGGGUAGGUCCAGGGACAUAGAUGAAUGUAACAUACUGUUCCAGUUUCAUUGUUCUGUUUCUAAAAGCAAGCCAGAGAGGGAACAGUCUAUUCGGCUUACACUUCCAGGUCACAAUCUAUCACUGAGGGAUGGGAGGGCAGGAACUCAAGCAGGAACUGAAACAGAAACCCUGGAGGAAACCCACUUGUUAGCCUAUUCUUUGGCUCACUCACAGGCUCAUGUUCUGCUAGUUUUCUUAUAUAGCCCAGGCCCACAUCAAUCCUCCAUCGAAACAAUCCCUCACAACAUGCCCACAGGCCAGUCUGACCUGGGUAGAUCUUCCGUCAAGGUUCCCUCUUCCCUGAUGACUCAGACUUUGCCAAGGUAACAAUAAAAACUAAACAGGACAAGUACACUUGAGCUUUUUUGUUUGUCUGUUUGUUGCAGUGCUGGGAUUGAACCCAUGACCCUGAACAUGUCAGGCAAAUGCUCUACUACUGAACCAUAUCCCAGUCCAUUUGUGUUUCAGUUUUGGGCUACCCUCUGAUUCCCCCAUGAGUAAGAAAUAAGUGGGCGGACAACUGGAGAGACAGAACUACAACCAAGACACUGAGACCAGACCAAAUGCCUGGAAGAAGCAGAAUCCAGCCAAGCAGCCUGGAAGAGGUAUAGACUAACCAAGUCACCCGGAAAGGACACCCUCCAACAUGUUGGGCUGCCUGCAGAUGUGGCACCUGACCCUGAGGAUCUGUCUUUAGAUCAUAAGCUGAUGUGAGCCUUUGUCUUCAUAAACUGGUCUAUUUGUGGCUUGCAGUUUCAGUAACAGAAAAAGAGACUAACAGUCAGGGGCUUGUGCUCUGUGGUGGAACCCUGAAGUCCUGAUCCAUUCCAGCCACUUACUGAAGGUCAUAGGAGAGGCAUGUUCCAACUAGCCCACGAGGCUCCUUGAGAGGGUUAGGGAGGAGGUGGGUUGUGCAGUCCAACCUGGAAAACAUGCUGGUGAGUUGGGGCUAUAGACAAACACCAGAACAGCCUCAGACCAAGUUGAAGGCCUAGGAGCCCCUUGGAGACUUCCUGGUCUGAGUCCUUGUUCAACAGCGGAAGAAGAUCUGGACUCUGAUGCCCACAGGCAGUGUCACUUGCUCAAGGAGAGUUGAGGGUGCUAAUGAGUGAGCUCCCCACACAGCCUUUUCUUUCCAUCCAGGGCCCAGCCCAUUGGGAUGGAGCUACCCAUGUUCAGGGAUGUUCCUCCCCACUCAGUUCAUGGAAACAUACGCCACUCAUCUCUGGAAACUUCCUAAUAGACACACCCAGGAGUGUGUUUUACUUUAAGUGACUCAACCUAGUAUAUGUGACCAAUACCACCCACCCCCCUUUCUUUGGGGCUCCAGGGUUCUGCCCUGCAGGUUCAUUGAGUCUAUGAUUGACAUUUGAAUCAUUGAAAGUCCUCCAAAAGCUGAUGGAACAUGAUCAGAUAGCUUAGAGACCCAAAAAGUAUGUUGAGAAGUCAGCCUUGACAGAAGCAAUGAGUUGAAGCUUUCAAAACACACCCUAGUUUUCAACCAUGGAAGUCAGUCCUCUGGGCAUUAGACAGCCUGGAAACCCAGUGACUCCAUCAAACACCCAGUGUAAGCAUUCUGGCCCGCCCCUGGAGACCCACCCAGCAUCCUGACGUCAUCUUACCUAAAGUCCCCUUUAAGAGACGACCCUUCUCCCUUCUCACUCUUCCUUCCUCUCUCCCUCUCUCUCCUUCCACAAGGCUGUGUACACCUCUGUUUUUCUUUCUUUCCCUCUCUUUUUCCUCUCCCCUCCCCCUUUAAUAAUAAAUCUUCCCACUUGGAUGCCAUGUCUGCAUGGUAUAACUUUCCACCCCACCAUGCCACUGUUGCUGUGUCUGCAUGGCAUGGCUGUCUUUACACCUUGGCUCAAACCCGUCAUGGCUGCCCAUACACCAUUUUGCAACACCCAGGACCCUCACAUUCAAGGAACCCCUCUUAAUGCCCAUCUCCUAGCAUUGUUCUAAGGGUUCAGUACACUGAUGCUGGACAUGGACCUCACACAAUAUAGCAUCUUUUACACAAAUGUGUAUGUGUUCUGGGAAUA